Molecule: ribosomal RNA, 468 nt
Filed under: uncultured bacterium
Lineage: Bacteria
Description: partial 16S ribosomal RNA
Rfam family: Bacterial small subunit ribosomal RNA
Source: RNAcentral
GACGAACGCUGGCGGCGUGCUUAACACAUGCAAGUCGAACGGAAAGGCCCUGCUUUUGUGGGGUGCUCGAGUGGCGAACGGGUGAGUAACACGUGAGUAGCCUGCCCUUGACUUUGGGAUAACUUCAGGAAACUGGGGCUAAUACCGGAUAGGAUCUCCUGCUGCAUGGUGGGGGUUGGAAAGUUUCGGCGGUUGGGGAUGGACUCGCGGCUUAUCAGCUUGUUGGUGGGGUAGUGGCUUACCAAGGCUUUGACGGGUAGCCGGCCUGAGAGGGUGACCGGCCACAUUGGGACUGAGAUACGGCCCAGACUCCUACGGGAGGCAGCAGUGGGGAAUAUUGCACAAUGGGCGGAAGCCUGAUGCAGCAACGCCGCGUGCGGGAUGACGGCCUUCGGGUUGUAAACCGCUUUCGCCUGUGACGAAGCGUGAGUGACGGUAAUGGGUAAAGAAGCACCGGCUAACUACGUG